GGAGUCAGUUAGAGCCCUGUCAGGCGAGCCACUUCAACGACAUACUAACUACCUUGCUGGAAAUGGAAAAAGCCUGCACUGCCGUGAAAGAGGGAGGAGGUGGGGACAGACAGAGAGGCACACAAAGACUCCCAGGGAGUGACUGCUGAGGAGUGAACAAACUAAAGUAAGUCACGGCAGAGAAAUAACUCUGCGUGUCACUACCAACAACCACGACGGAGACGAGGAGAGCGACAAACCUGAGAAGCAAAGAAAAGAAAGAUUAAGAGGAGCCGUGAAUGUUGUUGGUUUCUGGUGUCAUCUCACUUUUCCUCCGCUCCACGUGCAGACAGUCAUCAGUACCUGAGGAAUUAUCCCUCCUAACUCUAAUCUCUGCUAAUCUCUGUCUGCUCGUCUGAGGACUCCUCCUCCGGAUGACGUACCACACGACUCGGCAACAAAUAAAGACACGCUGUGAUAAACAUAACACUUCUUCCCUGAAGGAGUUACCCGACGUCUCCUCCUCAUCAACUGAUCGACUCAUUUCUGUUUUGUUCUUUUGAGUUGUUAGUCUGAGCUCGGCUGAGCGUUUGAGGACAACAAAGUCUCUGACAGGAUGGAUGCCAGAGAAGAGACGCUCGGCCUCCUGAGUAAGAUUUGGUUCAAGCUUCAGAGUCUGCCCGACGCCAGUCCGGUAGAGCUGGGAGCUUUUUUUGUCCUCCUGACCUUCAUCUUGGUCGUCCUGGUCAUAACAGUGUUGACCUGUGUGUCGUGCUGCUGCUGCUGCUGUCGCAAGACCAAGAUGAGGGGCUCGAACAUUUGAGCAAAACGUCCUCGUGGUCAUACAAUCAAGAGACAGACAUUAGAGACAUUUCAGCCUCAUGCAGGGUGUGUUUGCUGGCACUAGAGGAGCCCAGCCCUUACACAACAAAGCAGCUGACAAACACAGAGAAGAAGGACGCCAGACACACCUGCUGCAGCUGCCAGGUUUUCAGGAGAAGCUACAUUCUUUGGAGAAUCCCUGCGCUUUACGGGGCAACGACAACAACAACGCUCAUGACCUACAGCGAAGGCAGGGCAACACAAAGUGUCUUUAAUAAUAAUGAGGGCAAAUACAUGGACUAUAAGAAUGUAUAUAACGAGCGAGUUUCACAGUGAGAGAUGAAGAGGAAAGCCAAACUGUUAAUGUGUUCUUUUGAAAAGGAGUCACUCUUAAAAAAGGAACAAUAUGUAAAAUAUUGACUGUAUUAAACCAUAAAAUGACCAUUGUUCAACUGAAAUGUGAGCUGCUUGACAAAGAUACUACAGCCAGUAUGUUUGUUCUUUCGAAAUCCGCCUUACAGACGAGACUCAGACUGCUCAUGAAGACGGAAACAAAGCGGAGUUGACGUCCUAAACCGCUCUGUGAGCAGAAACAGCAGUAAAUAUUGGAGAUGCAUUUGAAAGGUGAAGACAGUUUAGAGGCAAGAAGGACCCCAGUUCAAUAUUUCACUCAUUACAAGACGACUCGGCAGUGUUUUUGAAUCUGCACCGUCAUUUUUUAAUCACUAGAUAUUACUGUUGGAAGCAAAGUUACAUAUUGUUCCUCUAAAGCGUGAUCACUCAGACUUAGAUAGUUCCUCCAGAGGGAGGAGCUGUUCUGCAACAAGUGCAAGUGUUCCUUGACGUUUCACAAUGAAACCUAAAAGACAGUUCAAACCUGCCCUCUGCUGUACACAAGCUGAAAUGGAUUUUAUUUUGAAAAGCAGAGCAUGUAGUAUAUGUAGCAUGUGUAUAAACCUGCAUGUUAUAAAAGGUGCACAGGGUGAAGACUUCAUGUCAUGGUGUCACACUUUAAAUCUACAGAGUUAUAUGUAAUAAACAAA
Long non-coding RNA from Larimichthys crocea (large yellow croaker), 1844 nucleotides. RefSeq lists it as uncharacterized. The transcript is spliced from 3 exons. NCBI's taxonomy places the organism in Eukaryota, Metazoa, Chordata, Actinopteri, Sciaenidae. The record is from RefSeq and is a predicted model, not a curated record.